This 65-nucleotide transfer RNA is filed under the name Aedes aegypti (yellow fever mosquito). RNAcentral describes it as "partial tRNA-OTHER". The record is from RNAcentral. Lineage: Eukaryota; Metazoa; Arthropoda; Insecta; Diptera; Culicidae.
GUGCUCGGCAGGACCCAGGACUCUUGUAUGCUAGACGAGCGCUUUACCUAUUAAGCUACCGAGCC